GUUCAGUGAUGUUCAAACAAAUGUCUGACCUGAAAUGUAAUGUAGACGAAUAAAAUAUUGCUGAG
RNAcentral lists this small nucleolar RNA (65 nucleotides) under Fundulus heteroclitus (mummichog). Lineage: Eukaryota; Metazoa; Chordata; Actinopteri; Cyprinodontiformes; Fundulidae. The record is from RNAcentral.